This 253-nucleotide ribosomal RNA is filed under the name uncultured bacterium. Its description in RNAcentral is "partial 16S ribosomal RNA". It matches the Rfam family "Bacterial small subunit ribosomal RNA", at positions 524 to 776 of the family's 1533-position model. The record is from RNAcentral.
UACGUAGGGUCCGAGCGUUGUCCGGAAUUAUUGGGCGUAAAGGGCUCGUAGGCGGUUCGUCACGUCGGGAGUGAAAACUCGGAGCUUAACUCCGAGCCUGCUUCCGAUACGGGCAGACUAGAGGUAGGCAGGGGAGAGCGGAACUCCUGGUGUAGCGGUGGAAUGCGCAGAUAUCAGGAAGAACACCGGUGGCGAAGGCGGCUCUCUGGGCCUUACCUGACGCUGAGACGCGAAAGCGUGGGGAGCGAACAGG